This 1043-nucleotide long non-coding RNA is filed under the name Ananas comosus (pineapple). RNAcentral's name for it is "long non-coding RNA (ACOM_LNC026120)". Lineage: Eukaryota; Viridiplantae; Streptophyta; Magnoliopsida; Poales; Bromeliaceae. The record is from RNAcentral.
ACCCUCCAGUAAAAAACCCUAUUUUAGGAAUUAUUUAUGUGACGUCCUAGCUUCCCAGAGGGUCAUCUAUUUUAGGACUACUCUCGUUCUAGCACGCUUAACUCUCUUAGGCUAUGUUUGGUUCAAAGGAUAAAGGAAGAAUAAGGAAUUUAUUCCUCUUAUUCUUCCAAACGGUGUCAAAUAACGCCAAGAACUACUAUUCUCUUCUUAACGGGUUAUUCCGGAAUAACCCGUUAAGAGGGAAGAAUAGUAGUUCCACCUAUUGGGUGGAACAAGUUAUUCUCUACCUUAUUCCUCUACUAAUUAAAUUAUAAAUAAUUAUAAAUUAUAAUUAAUUAAUGCAUUUAAAUUUUUUAAUAAUUGACUAAUUAAUUAUUUAAGUUAUUAAAUUAAUAAAUAUUUAAAUAAUAAUCUAUUUAUAAUUUAUUAUUAUUUAUCUAAUUAAAUAGUUAGCCAUAUAUUCAAUUAUUUACUAAUAUUUAUAUUAUUUAAAUAAUUAGUAUUUUAAUUUAUAUAAUUAAUAUAUUAACUAAAAAAAUAAUUGAUUAAAUAAUUAAUUCUAUUAACAUGUUGACUUAUUUUUUAUAGUUAUUUACUAAUUAAUGUCAUCUUUGUUGUCUCAUAUCGUAAUUUUCAUUAAUUUAUAAUGUAAUUUUGAUUAAUUUAUUUAUUAACUUAUUAAAAUAUUAUUUACUAAUACUUAGGUGUUUAAUAUUUAGAUAAAUUAGUUUUAUUUUCAAUCAUAAUUACUCUUAUCCCUACUAUUCCAACCCAAUCAACCAAACAUAAUUUUUCUUAUUCCUCUAAAUAUCUCGAUUCUCGUCCAAACACAAAAUAAAACUAAUUCUUACCUAUCACAAAAGUUACACCUAUCCUAAGAAUAAACAAAAAUUGGUUGUUUUCGAACCAAACGGUACCUUAAGCUCUUGGGCCUAGCCACCGGCCAAAAUACUUAAGUCAGGUUAAGAGUUUAACCCUAUUAUAUUUCAUAUAUUUAUCUAGGAUCUCAUAAUUUAUUUAUUUAUUUGUUUCUUAAACAAAUC